This 484-nucleotide ribosomal RNA is filed under the name uncultured bacterium. RNAcentral's name for it is "partial 16S ribosomal RNA". It matches the Rfam family "Bacterial small subunit ribosomal RNA", at positions 30 to 507 of the family's 1533-position model. The record is from RNAcentral.
AUUGAAUGCUGGCGGCAGGCCUAACACAUGCGAGUCGAGCGGAUGAAGGGAGCUUGCUCCUGGAUUCAGCGGCGGACGGGUGAGUAAUGCCUAGGAAUCUGCCUGGUAGUGGGGGAUAACGUCCGGAAACGGGCGCUAAUACCGCAUACGUCCUGAGGGAGAAAGUGGGGGAUCUUCGGACCUCACGCUAUCAGAUGAGCCUAGGUCGGAUUAGCUAGUUGGUGGGGUAAAGGCCUACCAAGGCGACGAUCCGUAACUGGUCUGAGAGGAUGAUCAGUCACACUGGAACUGAGACACGGUCCAGACUCCUACGGGAGGCAGCAGUGGGGAAUAUUGGACAAUGGGCGAAAGCCUGAUCCAGCCAUGCCGCGUGUGUGAAGAAGGUCCUCGGAUUGUAAAGCACUUUAAGUUGGGAGGAAGGGCAGUAAGUUAAUACCUUGCUGUUUUGACGUUACCAACAGAAUAAGCACCGGCUAACUUCGUG